UCCGGCCAUAUCGCGUUAAAACACCGGUUCUGAUCCGAUCAGCGAAGUUAAUCAACGUCGGGCCUAGCGAAUACCGAGCUGAGCAAUCGCUUAGGAAUGACAGUUGCUGUAAG
This is a non-coding RNA of Acanthosepion pharaonis, 113 nucleotides long. Lineage: Eukaryota; Metazoa; Mollusca; Cephalopoda; Sepiida; Sepiidae. The record is from the annotation of a GenBank genome assembly.